ACUAAUAUAUUGUGACGGUGUAAAUUAAAACAUUUCUAUGUUCAUUUUGUAUUUUCUUCGGAAGAAUGGACACAAGAGCUGAUGACCAGUUGCAGCUCCGUGGAAUCGCCCCUGUGUUAAAUGAGUGCAAAUUAGAAUGUGAAAGGAACGCUUAUUCCGACCCCGCUUUCAUCUCGCCCAGUGAGAGUCACUUUCACUGGGCAUUAUGAAGCGGGAGGAAAACAGAACUCGCUGUAAGACAACCCUGUUUGAAAUGUUAUAUGAAGAUGACUGCAUUGGAUGUCUCAACAAUUGCAUUAUUGUAUGCAUAAUUAUGGAGGAGAUGGGUAGAACUGCCAAAAAAAGAAUGAAAGAUGAUGUAAACAAGCCCUCUGCCACCCUUGUAUGCCAAAUUAUAUGUAGGUGGGUGAUGUAAUGUGCCCUGGAGCAUCCAAUGGAAAUAGUCUGGGACAGUGUGUCCCUGUGUUCCUUGCCCUGAUGAAUGCCGUGUAGGAUGGAUGGUGUUCAGUGGAAGGAGACGGACGGCCCUUAGAGGACGGCCAGAGAGGUGAUUGGGCAGGCGGGCAGGCUGACGGGCGACUGGAUGCCCCAUUGAGAGCUGCGUUGCUGAUGAAACACAGUGGUGGUUUUAGAGUGGUAUCUGAGACUGGACGACUCCAAGAUGACAGUCUGGUCAUUAUCCGAAAGAGGAGAAAAAAUGAAGGGGGUUUUAGAGUAUUGAAAUGACACCAUGCGUGAAGAGGUACUUUUAUGGCCACUAUUGGUUCAUGUUGCAUGAUCUGCUACAAGUCUUCUCUGCUGUACAUUACCAUAGCCAUUACAAUAGAAAUGUUUGUUUCAUCAGUAGCUGGACAGACAAGUUUUAUUUUUUAUCUCAAGUGAAGUUUCUAGUUUAGGGUUACUGGUGGCUUAAAUAAAAAAAAUAAAAAAAUCAGUUUUUGUGCUGUUAUGACAUGUUUACUUUAGCUGUGCCUCUUCACCUUGGUUAAGCCAAAGUAGACUGCAUUUUUUUCUAACUCUUACUCUUGGUUGCAUCUGAUUUUAUGCAUUACUUUAUCUGACGUUUAAGUCCGUCCACUGCACCAAACACAUCUGAUUUCUGCUAUAUCAAUUAAUACACAUGUAUUCAAUAAAACCCUCUGAUCAAUAUACUUUCAAGAACACACAGCAUGCCGUAGUACAUUUUCUACUCUUCAAUUUCUACACGUAGCAAUUCAUAUGUGAGAGACAGUGAUGCUCUAAUCCAUUGUUUGUGACUCAGAAUGUUUCUUUGUCUUCUUGGGGUUUCUGGAUAUUUUACAGCUUGAAAUCCCUGUGCACACGAUGCACCCCACAGUCAAACUAAAAGAGCUCUCAGGGCCAAAAUCUAAAGCUUAAACUUUUCUCUGUUGUUAUUGCAAAACUAUUAUCUUUCAUUUCUUCUUUUGAGACAAACUGGGUUGGUUUCUUUUAAGCAACACGCUGCUGCUUUGUUGAUAGAUUAUCGUAAAUUAUUGUUGGACUGUCUGGAAACUAACUUAAUAGAUACAGAAUUCUGGCUGCUGCUGUAUCUAAUGCACGACUGUGUAUUAAUUCUGAUUCUGAUAUGUCCAAAUCAUUAUUCCUUUGUUCCAAACAAGGUCUCUUUUUUAGGCCUUUUUCUCAUAGUGCUUUAAUUUUGCUGUUUGUUUAUUUGGAUGGUUUUUUAUUAACAUAAUUCCUAUUUCUGUCAUGUUUUCAUGUACAUUCUUCUUUGUUGCAUUUUAAUAUUCUGUUUUUUAUUUUAAGUUUAAUGUUUAAGUAACUUAUUUUGUGUGUAAAAAAUGUCAAUAUUUAUUACCAUUGUACAUAUUUCCCUAUUUUUUAUAUAUGUAUAUAAACAUUAAAUAAAAGUAGAGAUCACUUCA
Long non-coding RNA from Alosa alosa (allis shad), 1886 nucleotides. RefSeq lists it as uncharacterized. The transcript has 2 exons. Lineage: Eukaryota; Metazoa; Chordata; Actinopteri; Clupeiformes; Clupeidae. The record is from RefSeq and is a predicted model, not a curated record.